RNAcentral lists this ribosomal RNA (332 nucleotides) under Salmonella enterica subsp. enterica serovar Typhimurium. RNAcentral describes it as "partial 23S ribosomal RNA". It matches the Rfam family "Bacterial large subunit ribosomal RNA", at positions 2611 to 2925 of the family's 2925-position model. Lineage: Bacteria; Pseudomonadati; Pseudomonadota; Gammaproteobacteria; Enterobacterales; Enterobacteriaceae. RNAcentral also lists the same sequence under 1 other name. The record is from RNAcentral.
UUAGAACGUCGUGAGACAGUUCGGUCCCUAUCUGCCGUGGGCGCUGGAGAACUGAGGGGGGCUGCUCCUAGUACGAGAGGACCGGAGUGGACGCAUCACUGGUGUUCGGGUUGUCAUGCCAAUGGCACUGCCCGGUAGCUAAAUGCGGAAGAGAUAAGUGCUGAAAGCAUCUAAGCACGAAACUUGCCCCGAGAUGAGUUCUCCCUGAGACUUAGAGUCUCCUGAAGGAACGUUGAAGACGACGACGUUGAUAGGCCGGGUGUGUAAGCGCAGCGAUGCGUUGAGCUAACCGGUACUAAUGAACCGUGAGGCUUAACCUUACAACGCCGAAG